AAAAGGGAAUUCAGGUAUUGCAUGUUGGUCAUGUUGUAUUGCUAUCCCAAAAUACUUUUCAGUAGCUAGCAUGUGGAGGCUGAGGAUUUCUAUUAUCCCUAAGAGUAUUAUUUUAAUGCAACAGCGCUCCAAAUAACAUCAUUCUGAAAUAUUACAGUGGCAGUAUUACAAAUGCUUGCAUUUAAUAUGUAGGUCAAGCUGGCAUUUUCAGACAAGGGCUGACUGCACUUCUGGUUGAGGAUUAGCCAUAGUCACAGCUGGGACUCUAAGAUGACAAAAUGCAAGGGUUCUUUCUAUCUUUGACACCUAAACAGAUGUUGGAAAUAGCCUUUAAUUAGAGCUGAAAACAUAUUAGUGUUGCAGACAGGUGACUGAGGCAGUUUAUCUGUGCUUGUGAAACAAGACUUGAAAUGCUAUAGUUAAAUCCCAGAGACUAAACAAAGACAGCUAAUCUGCAUGAUUGAGAAGAGAGACUCUGAUACUCUGAUUGGUUAAGAACUUUUUUUCUUCCAGUCACAGGCUAUCUCUAACAUGUGCAUCCUCAGUGCUGAUCUGACUGCCACUCUGGUCUCAGCCAUUGACACAAUUUUGGAGAUAAGAAGAUUCAGAGAUUGGAGAAGCAGUAUUUGAAAGCUCAGCAAAGUCUUUUUGCAGGGCACAUCAGUCAGCAAAAAAAGUUCACAAAAAGACCAAGAGCAUAAGAUACAAGGGUAAGGGUAAGUUGUUAUAGCCAGUGGCUUUCAGACUUACAGUGAAAUAAACUAAUACUAGAAAACUUUCUCUGUGGCA
This 789-nucleotide long non-coding RNA is filed under the name Pogona vitticeps (central bearded dragon). Its description in RNAcentral is "lncRNA (ENSPVIG00000016481.1)". Lineage: Eukaryota; Metazoa; Chordata; Lepidosauria; Squamata; Agamidae. The record is from RNAcentral.